AUUGAACGCUGGCGGCAUGCCUUACACAUGCAAGUCGAACGGCAGCACGGGUGCUUGCACCUGGUGGCGAGUGGCGAACGGGUGAGUAAUACAUCGGGACAUGUCCUGUAGUGGGGGAUAGCCCGGCGAAAGCCGGAUUAAUACCGCAUACGAUCUACGGAUGAAAGAGGGGGACCUUCGGGCCUCGCGCUAUAGGGUUGGCCGAUGGCUGAUUAGCUAGUUGGUGGGGUAAAGGCCUACCAAGGCGACGAUCAGUAGCUGGUCUGAGAGGACGACCAGCCACACUGGGACUGAGACACGGCCCAGACUCCUACGGGAGGCAGCAGUGGGGAAUUUUGGACAAUGGGCGAAGGCCUGAUCCAGCAAUGCCGCGUGUGUGAAGAAGGCCUUCGGGUUGUAAAGCACUUUUGUCCGGAAAGAAAUCCUUGGCCCUAAUACGGUCGGGGGAUGACGGUACCGGAAGAAUAAGCACCGGCUAACUACGUG
RNAcentral lists this ribosomal RNA (486 nucleotides) under uncultured bacterium. RNAcentral describes it as "partial 16S ribosomal RNA". It matches the Rfam family "Bacterial small subunit ribosomal RNA", at positions 30 to 507 of the family's 1533-position model. The record is from RNAcentral.